Amblyraja radiata (thorny skate) is the source of this 233-nucleotide long non-coding RNA. RefSeq lists it as uncharacterized. The record is from RefSeq and is a predicted model, not a curated record. NCBI's taxonomy places the organism in Eukaryota, Metazoa, Chordata, Chondrichthyes, Rajiformes, Rajidae. The transcript is spliced from 3 exons.
AAAUUUAAGCACUGUGAGUGCUGCAAAUCUGUAAUUAAAGCAGAAAAUGUGGGAAACUUUAAUAGAUCAGACUAUGUUGUGGAAAGAGAAGAAACUAACAUUUCAGAUUAUUGUAGAAACAAGCACUGCAGAUGCUGGUUUACAAAAAAAAAGACACAACGUGCAAGAGGGAACAUCUCUGGAAAACAUGGGUAUCCACAUGUAUCCAGCGAUGAUGAUUGGCCCACUGAGAU